This 1010-nucleotide long non-coding RNA is filed under the name Equus caballus (horse). RNAcentral's name for it is "lncRNA (ENSECAG00000056985.1)". Lineage: Eukaryota; Metazoa; Chordata; Mammalia; Perissodactyla; Equidae. The record is from RNAcentral.
GUGGUGACUGGGCUGAGUCAACCAGGUUCUCCCUCAGGAAUGUGAACUAAGACACACUGAAAGAAUGGAGCAGAUAACAGAAAUCUGAAGCUGAGGGAACGUUCUGGGGCAGAGGAGCAACCAUGAUGCCCCAUUCUCAGGGAAAAGUUAUGAGGCAGGAGGAAUUGGAAAAAAACAACAGAGACCCAGAAUAAAGCCCAGAGAGCAGAGAAUUGGGAAAAAAAAUGAGCUAGCUGGAAGAGAGAUACAGACACACCAAAGAGGAAUUUAUUUAGCUAUGUUUCACUCAGAAGAUCCUGUUGACAGCCCGGAUGCACACCGCUGGGCUACUGCAACCCGAAAGCCAAUACUGAACCAGUCAAAAAGAGGAAGAAAACUUACAUCUUUGGUGUUUCCCAGAUCACCAAUAAUCUACAGAGGCCAAGUGCAAAGUCUGCGUGUGGCAGACCAUGAGACUGUGCUCAAUUUCCUUCUGUUUUCUUUGCGAGCUCUCUGCUGCCCUGGCAUCCCACAUGCAAGUAUUCUUUUCCUCUUGUGAUUAGUUUGGAUUAUGGAAGGAUGAGAAAACAUGUUGUGUAACAAACGAGAUUAGGAAGAAGAGAAAAACAGAGCAAAAGGAUAUUACGUCUUACCUGUUGAAACAACCUAAGGCAAAUUCUAAUAUAAAGGUGAACUUGUAUGACCUGUCGGAGCGAGUGCUGGGCCAACUGCAUCCUAGUGUGUGGUUUCCACAGACUCGUGAAAUGGGAAAAGAAAACCGAAAGGGAGUAAGAAGACUCUCUGCUCCGAGAUGGAUUUAUUCCGACAAGGAGGCUAUACGAAAGGGGAAUGAAUACACACAGAAGAGCCCUAAAUGGGAGCACAGGGAGAUGGAGAUGCUAUAAUGGGCGACUGGUUAGAAAUAUCGAUGCUUAGGAGCAGAAAGGCUUAGAAAGUCGGGAAGAAGAGAUAUUUUUGCUCUUUGCUCUGAUUCCAAAUUUUGUAUCUUCAGCAAAAACCCAGAAGUACAG